CGUGCCUAACACAUGCAAGUCGAACGAGAUCCGAUGGGAGCUUGCUCCCGGAAGAUCUAGUGGCGAACGGGUGAGUAACACGUGAGAAACCUGCCCUGGAGUGGGGAAUAACUCGGGGAAACUCGAGCUAACACCGCAUACCCUCGGAUGGUCGCAUGGCCGACCGAGGAAAGAUUUAUCGCUCUAGGAGGGUCUCGCGGCCUAUCAGCUAGUUGGUGGGGUAACGGCCUACCAAGGCAACGACGGGGUAGCUGGUUUGAGAGAACGAUCAGCCACACUGGGACUGAGACACGGCCCAGACUCCUACGGGAGGCAGCAGUGGGGAAUCUUGCGCAAUGGGCGAAAGCCUGACGCAGCAACGCCGCGUGCGGGAUGACGGCCUUCGUGGUUGUAAACCGCUUUCAGCAGGGACGAAAAUGACGGUACCCGCAGAAGAAGCCCCGGCUAACUACGUG
This 455-nucleotide ribosomal RNA is filed under the name uncultured bacterium. RNAcentral describes it as "bacterial SSU rRNA". It matches the Rfam family "Bacterial small subunit ribosomal RNA", at positions 43 to 507 of the family's 1533-position model. The record is from RNAcentral.